AACGAACGCUGGCGGCGUGCUUAACACAUGCAAGUCGAACGAGAAAGCCCGCAAGGGUGAGUAGAGUGGCGCACGGGUGAGUAAUAGAUAGGAACGUACCGAACAGAGGGGGAUAACUGCGGGAAACUGCAGCUAAUACCGCGUACGACGAAAGUUAAAGAGGGCCUAUGCUUGCAUGCUCUCGCUGUUUGAUCGGCCUAUCUCCCAUUAGCUAGUUGGCGGGGUAAUAGCCCACCAAGGCUUCG
Molecule: ribosomal RNA, 245 nt
Filed under: uncultured bacterium
Lineage: Bacteria
Description: partial 16S ribosomal RNA
Rfam family: Bacterial small subunit ribosomal RNA
Source: RNAcentral